AUCAGCAACAGUAGUCACUACUUCCCUUGCGCUGUGGAUACAUGUGGUAUUGUUUAUCUUGGAAUGCAACAGUGUUUCUUGCAAACGGGGAAUGCAAUUAUUUCUCUGAAAUGAAAUGUACUGGCUUCUCAGUAAACCGACUCGUACCAGACAUGACCACUGCAGAUGUUGCCUCCGUCCCUGCAGAUGAUGACCAGCUCUGUCUUUAAAGGAGAGAACAAGACAUCCCCCACAUGGUUCCAGCCUAGAGCUACAAGACCCUAGAAUGAUGACCAGCUCUGUCUUUAAAGGAGAGGACAAGACAUCCCCCACAUGGUUCCAGCCUAGAGCUACAAGACCCUAGAAUGAUGACCAGCUCUGUCUUUAAAGGAGAGGACAAGACAUCCCCCACAUGGUUCCAGCCUAGAGCUACAAGACCCUAGAAUGAUGACCAGC
Long non-coding RNA from Salvelinus sp. IW2-2015, 435 nucleotides. RefSeq lists it as uncharacterized. The record is from RefSeq and is a predicted model, not a curated record. NCBI's taxonomy places the organism in Eukaryota, Metazoa, Chordata, Actinopteri, Salmoniformes, Salmonidae.